GGCUAGGGGGCUGUCAUGGCUUACCAAACCGAUGCAAACUCCGAAUACCGGCUAAUUGGAUCACGGGAGACACACGGCGGGUGCUAACGUCCGUCGUGGAGAGGGAAACAACCCAGACCGCCAGCUAAGGUCCCCAAGUACUAGUUAAGUGGGAAACGAUGUGGGAAGGCAUAGACAGCCAGGAGGUUGGCUUAGAAGCAGCCACCCUUUAAAGAAAGCGUAAUAGCUCACUGGUCGAGUCGGCCUGCGCGGAAGAUGUAACGGGGCUAAAACUAGUCACCGAAGCUGCGGAUGUGCGCGAAGGCGCACGUGGUAGGGGAGCGUUCUGUAGGCUGAUGAAGGUGCAUUGAGAGGUGUGCUGGAGGUAUCAGAAGUGCGAAUGCUGACAUGAGUAACGAUAAUGUGGGUGAAAAGCCCACACGCCGGAAGUCCCAGGUUUCCUGCACGACGUUAAUCGGAGCAGGGUGAGUCGGCCCCUAAGGCGAGGCUGAAGAGCGUAGUCGAUGGGAACCAGGUUAAUAUUCCUGGACUUUUUAUAAGUGGUGAAGUGGGGACGAAGAAGGCUAGGUGAGCCAGGCGUUGGUUGUCCUGGUACUUGCAUGUAGGGGGGAAGACUUGGCAAAUCCGGUUUUCCGAUACUCUGAGGUGCGAAGUGGUUCUGACCUUUUGGUACAGAGAAGUCAUUGAUGCCCGGCUUCCAGGAAAAGCUGCUAGCCAUAACUUAUAGAGAACCGUACCGCAAACCGACACAGGUGGACAGGUAGAGAAUACUAAGGCGCUUGAGAGAACUCGGGUGAAGGAACUAGGCAAAAUGGUACCGUAACUUCGGGAGAAGGUACGCCCUUUCUGGUGAUGGGAUUUACUUUCAGAGCUGGAGAGGGCCGCAGAGACCAGGUGGCUGCGACUGUUUAUUAAAAACACAGCACUCUGCAAAUUCGUAAGAAGACGUAUAGGGUGUGACGCCUGCCCGGUGCCGGAAGGUUAAUUGAUGGGGUUAUCUUCGGAGAAGCUCUUGAUCGAAGCCCCGGUAAACGGCGGCCGUAACUAUAACGGUCCUAAGGUAGCGAAAUUCCUUGUCGGGUAAGUUCCGACCUGCACGAAUGGCGUAACGAUGGCCACACUGUCUCCACCCGAGACUCAGUGAAAUUGAAAUCGCUGUGAAGAUGCAGUGUACCCGCGGCUAGACGGAAAGACCCCGUGAACCUUUACUAUAGUUUUGCACUGGACUUUGAUGAUGACUGUGUAGGAUAGGUGGGAGGCUGUGAAGUGAGGACGCUAGUUCUCAUGGAGCCGCCCUUGAAAUACCACCCUGUUGUUAUUGAGGUUCUAACUUGGUCCAGUAAUCCUGGAUGAGGACAGUGUAUGAUGGGUAGUUUGACUGGGGCGGUCUCCUCCCAAAGAGUAACGGAGGAGCACAAAGGUACCCUCGGUACGGUCGGACAUCGUACCAAGAGUGUAAAGGCAAAAGGGUGCUUGACUGCGAGAGUGACGGCUCGAGCAGGAACGAAAGUUGGUCUUAGUGAUCCGGUGGUUCUGAAUGGAAGGGCCAUCGCUCAACGGAUAAAAGGUACUCCGGGGAUAACAGGCUGAUACCGCCCAAGAGUUCAUAUCGACGGCGGUGUUUGGCACCUCGAUGUCGGCUCAUCACAUCCUGGGGCUGAAGCAGGUCCCAAGGGUAUGGCUGUUCGCCAUUUAAAGUGGUACGCGAGCUGGGUUUAGAACGUCGUGAGACAGUUCGGUCCCUAUCUGCCGUGGGCGUAGGAAAAUUGAGAGGAGCUGCUCCUAGUACGAGAGGACCGGAGUGGACGAACCUCUGGUGCACCGGUUGUCACGCCAGUGGCAUGGCCGGGUAGCUAAGUUCGGACGGGAUAACCGCUGAAAGCAUCUAAGCGGGAAGCCUCCCUCAAGAUGAGUUUUCCCAUGAAGCCCGUUGAAGACUACGACGUUGAUAGGCAAGGUGUGGAAGCGCAGUAAUGCGUGAAGCUAACUUGUACUAAUUGGCUGAUUGUCUUGACCAUAUAAUCUGAG
Molecule: ribosomal RNA, 2028 nt
Filed under: Legionella pneumophila
Lineage: Bacteria; Pseudomonadati; Pseudomonadota; Gammaproteobacteria; Legionellales; Legionellaceae
Description: partial 23S ribosomal RNA
Rfam family: Bacterial large subunit ribosomal RNA
Source: RNAcentral